RNAcentral lists this ribosomal RNA (264 nucleotides) under uncultured bacterium. RNAcentral's name for it is "partial 16S ribosomal RNA". It matches the Rfam family "Bacterial small subunit ribosomal RNA", at positions 793 to 1055 of the family's 1533-position model. The record is from RNAcentral.
GUCCAUGCCAUAAACGAUGAUCACUUGGUGUUGGAGGUAUUGACCCCUUCAGUGCCGAAGCUAACGCGUUAAGUGAUCCGCCUGGGGAGUACGGCCGCAAGGUUAAAACUCAAAGAAAUUGACGGGGGCCCGCACAAGCGGUGGAGCAUGUGGUUUAAUUCGAUGCAACGCGAAGAACCUUACCUGGGUUUGACAUGAUUUGGAAGAGUGGCAGAGAUGCCCUCGCCCGCAAGGGCCGAAUCACAGGUGCUGCAUGGCUGUCGU